UACGUAGGGGGCAAGCGUUGUUCGGAAUUACUGGGCGUAAAGGGCGCGUAGGCGGCACAGCAAGUCGGGCGUGAAAGCCCGGGGCUCAACCCCGGAAUGGCUUUCGAAACUGCUGAGCUAGAGUACAGAAGGGGCAACCGGAAUUCCCAGUGUAGCGGUGAAAUGCUUAGAUAUGACAUAGAACACCGAUUGCGAAGGCAGCUUGCUAAACAAUUAUUGACGCUGAGGCACGAAAGCGUGGGGAUCAAACAGG
RNAcentral lists this ribosomal RNA (253 nucleotides) under uncultured bacterium. RNAcentral describes it as "partial 16S ribosomal RNA". It matches the Rfam family "Bacterial small subunit ribosomal RNA", at positions 524 to 776 of the family's 1533-position model. The record is from RNAcentral.